GGCGCAUUAGCUCAGCAGGUUAGAGCAACGGAAUCAUAAUCCGGAGGUCCCCUGUUCGAACCAGGGAUGCGCUACCA
This 77-nucleotide transfer RNA is filed under the name Bordetella sp. RNAcentral's name for it is "tRNA-Met". It matches the Rfam family "tRNA". Rfam says of the family: Transfer RNA (tRNA) molecules are approximately 80 nucleotides in length. Their secondary structure includes four short double-helical elements and three loops (D, anti-codon, and T loops). Further hydrogen bonds mediate the characteristic L-shaped molecular structure. tRNAs have two regions of fundamental functional importance: the anti-codon, which is responsible for specific mRNA codon recognition, and the 3' end, to which the tRNAs corresponding amino acid is attached (by aminoacyl-tRNA synthetases). tRNAs cope with the degeneracy of the genetic code in two manners: having more than one tRNA (with a specific anti-codon) for a particular amino acid; and 'wobble' base-pairing, i.e. permitting non-standard base-pairing at the 3rd anti-codon position. The record is from RNAcentral. Lineage: Bacteria; Pseudomonadati; Pseudomonadota; Betaproteobacteria; Burkholderiales; Alcaligenaceae.